This is a small nuclear RNA of Dipodomys ordii (Ord's kangaroo rat), 93 nucleotides long. The record is from Ensembl. Lineage: Eukaryota; Metazoa; Chordata; Mammalia; Rodentia; Heteromyidae.
UUGCUUCUGCAGCACAUAUCCUAAAAUUGGAACUAUACAGAGGAGAUUAGCUUAGCCCCUCUGCUAGAAAUUUGUGAAGCAUUCCACAUUUUU